This 459-nucleotide ribosomal RNA is filed under the name uncultured bacterium. Its description in RNAcentral is "partial 16S ribosomal RNA". It matches the Rfam family "Bacterial small subunit ribosomal RNA", at positions 338 to 795 of the family's 1533-position model. The record is from RNAcentral.
CCUACGGGAGGCAGCAGUGAGGAAUAUUGGUCAAUGGCCGGGAGGCUGAACCAGCCAAGUCGCGUGAGGGAAGACGGCCCUACGGGUUGUAAACCUCUUUUGUCAGGGAGCAAGGUGCAGGUCGGGACCUGUUGUGUGAGUACCUGAUGAAUAAGCAUCGGCUAAUUCCGUGCCAGCAGCCGCGGUAAUACGGAGGAUGCGAGCGUUAUCCGGAUUUAUUGGGUUUAAAGGGUGCGAGGGCGGAGGCAAAAGUCGGCGGGAAAAUCCCGGGGCUCAACCCGGCCCGGCCGUUGGAACUGGGUCCCUUGAGUGCGCGGAGGGUAGGCGGAAUGCGUGGUGUAGCGGUGAAAUGCAUAGAUAUCACGCAGAACUCCGAUCGCGAAGGCAGCCUACCGGCGCGCAACUGACGCUGAUGCACGAAGGCGUGGGUAUCGAACAGGAUUAGAUACCCCGGUAGUC